Molecule: ribosomal RNA, 309 nt
Filed under: uncultured bacterium
Lineage: Bacteria
Description: partial 16S ribosomal RNA
Rfam family: Bacterial small subunit ribosomal RNA
Source: RNAcentral
AGAGACAGCAGUAGCCGCGGGAAUACAGAGGGUGCGAGCGUUAAUCGGAUUUACUGGGCGUAAAGCGUGCGUAGGCGGCUUUUUAAGUCGGAUGUGAAAUCCCUGAGCUUAACUUAGGAAUUGCAUUCGAUACUGGGAAGCUAGAGUAUGGGAGAGGAUGGUAGAAUUCCAGGUGUAGCGGUGAAAUGCGUAGAGAUCUGGAGGAAUACCGAUGGCGAAGGCAGCCAUCUGGCCUAAUACUGACGCUGAGGUACGAAAGCAUGGGGAGCAAACAGGAUUAGAGACCCCUGUAGUCCCUGUCUCUUAUAA